GGUUUUCCUAGCGCAGGGGGGGGGAGCAGGAGGGUGGUGGGGUGGCAGGAGGAAAGGAAGGCGACGAACAGGCUGGCUGGCACAAAAACCAGGAUUUGUGCGGAGAAGGAUCUGAGCAGGGAAGGGAAAUCCGUGUCUAAACAGGCUCCAGGUUGGAUGGAGGUUAAAACCCCUGCAUUUUCCACAAAUACAAACAACACACCCACCUUUGGGCCAUGAAGCUGGAGAGGAGUAGAUUUCUGGGACAUCUGUUUGCAGAAGAGAAGACCCAAAGCUGACGAAAACAACACAGGAACCGCCUCUACACUCUUUGCUGAGCUUCAAGGACAAAAAAAAAAACAACAACCCAUAAAGAUUUAAGGUCCACGAAGCACAGAUUUUUCCUUCUACUAACCCCUUAAAAAAA
This is a long non-coding RNA of Protobothrops mucrosquamatus (brown spotted pit viper), 406 nucleotides long. RefSeq lists it as uncharacterized. Lineage: Eukaryota; Metazoa; Chordata; Lepidosauria; Squamata; Viperidae. The record is from RefSeq and is a predicted model, not a curated record. The transcript is spliced from 2 exons.